This 771-nucleotide long non-coding RNA is filed under the name Oncorhynchus kisutch (coho salmon). RNAcentral's name for it is "lncRNA (ENSOKIG00005021724.1)". Lineage: Eukaryota; Metazoa; Chordata; Actinopteri; Salmoniformes; Salmonidae. The record is from RNAcentral.
UGUUGCAGGGUAUCACUGUUUUUGUUGCUGUUGUUGUGUUGCAGGGUAUCACUGUUGUUGUUGUGUUGCAGGGUAUCACUGUUGUUGUUGUGUUACAGGGUAUCACUGUGAGCCGUUCAACAACCCCUCUGACUUCUUCCUAGACGUCACUAAACGGAGAGGCUCAGUCUACACUAGACAUCACUUCAUUUAACUAUGAUGAUAAGGAGAACUGUGACAACAGCAACCUUCUGGCAGUGAGCUACAGACAGUCAACUCAGUACCAGAGGGUGGUGGAGGAGCUGGACCAUUUGACCCAGGGUCUGGAGGGAGGGGUCGGAGGUCAGGGACAGAAGGCCGACUACGUCACCUCCUUCUGGUACCAGAUGAGGAUAGUGGUGUGUCGUAUGGUGGUGAACUCUCUCAGGAACCCCCAGACAUCGUACGCUCAGCUGGCCCUCAACAUCUUCUUCGCUCUGCUGGUCGGCCUCAUCUACUACCAGAUCCCCUGACUCUACCUGAAGCCCUACAGAACAGGUGUCUGUCCUGUCUGUCUGUCUGUCUUGUCUGUCCGUCUCACAGUGCAGCAGUAUCUAUUCUUUAUUCUCUCUCUCUCUCUCAGGAUGGGAGCAUUCUUUUCCUCAUCAUCAACAUGGUGUUUGGGAAUCUUUCAGCUGUGGAACUCUUCAUCAAUGAGAGAGCUCUGUUCAUGUGAGUCUUUAUGUUUGUAUGUGUUCUGACUCUCUCUCUGUGUGUUUGUAUGUGUUCUGACUCUGUGUGUGUGUGUGUUCU